AGAGAGAGACAUGCGCGCAUAUCAAUAAGCGGAGGAAAAGAAACUAACUAGGAUUCCCUCAGUAACGGCGAGUGAAGCGGGAAGAGCUCAAAUUUGAAAUCUUCAAGGUUCUACCUUGACGAAUUGUAGUUUAAAGAAGUGUUUUCUGUUGGAGUUUUGGUAAAAGUUCUUUGGAAUAGGACAUCAUAGAGGGUGAGAAUCCCGUAUUUGACCAUUAUUUCCAGCUUUGUGAUACACUUUCAAAGAGUCGGAUUGUUUGGGAAUGCAGUCCAAAAUGGGUGGUAAAUUUCAUCUAAAGCUAAAUAUUGGCGAGAGACCGAUAGCGAACAAGUACCGUGAGGGAAAGAUGAAAAGAACUUUGAAAAGAGAGUUAAACAGUACGUGAAAUUGUCAAAAGGGAAGCGUUUGACACCAGUGUUGUUUUUCUGAAAAUCAAUUAAAGAACUGUUUAUGCUAAGUUGUUUAGACUUUAUCAGCUAUCUGUUUAGUUUUGAGCUUUUCUUUAAUGCACUUUUUCAGUUAACAAGUCAACAUCAAUUUCUUUUGCUGUAAAAAAGCUUGAGGAAGGUGGCUUGAGAUUCGUCUUAAGUGUUUAUAGCCUCUUGCCUAUGCAGUCGGAGAGAUUGAGGUCUGCAGCGUAGAUCCUUCGGGGCUAAAUGCAUUUGUGCUAAGUUAUAGCAUUUUAUAGACAACUUGUUGACUAUGAUUUGUCUCGUAGCUUACUCGCUUAUGUUAUUUUACCUACGCUUAGGAUGUUGAUGUGAUACUGCGAGC
Molecule: ribosomal RNA, 774 nt
Filed under: uncultured Neocallimastigales
Lineage: Eukaryota; Fungi; Neocallimastigomycota; Neocallimastigomycetes; Neocallimastigales
Description: partial large subunit ribosomal RNA
Rfam family: Eukaryotic large subunit ribosomal RNA
Source: RNAcentral